Lycium barbarum (goji berry) is the source of this 1423-nucleotide long non-coding RNA. RefSeq lists it as uncharacterized. The record is from RefSeq and is a predicted model, not a curated record. NCBI's taxonomy places the organism in Eukaryota, Viridiplantae, Streptophyta, Magnoliopsida, Solanales, Solanaceae. The transcript is spliced from 2 exons.
CACGGGGUCGAUUUUUUAAAAUGAAAAUAAAAUUUCGACCACGUGUGGUCGAAAUUAAUUUUUGUAUAAAUAAUAAAUGGGAAACGUUUAAAUUAAAAAAAAAAAAAAUUCGACCACAUGUGGUCGAAAAUUGGACCACAUUUGUAUAUACACACUUCUUUGCAAAUCUGUUCAGCACCACACUUGACCACUUUUUUAUUUUUUCUUUCUCUCUCUUUCCUCUCUCCCUCUCUUCUCUCUACCCACACCACCAGCCCACCGCCCCACCAGCCCAGACCUCAACCAACCGCCUCCGACCACCGCCAGUCCACCGUCGGCGGCGCAGACACUUCAUGUUGAUAGGGAAAAGGAAUAAGGGACAAUGUACUGUUGAAUUCGAAUGGAUGAAAUUGAGGUAAGUAGUCUCUUAUUUUAGUUGUUUCAUUUUGCUGCCUUGGUCAAGAAGUCCUUCCAUUGUUUCUUUGCUAUGGUGUGUUACUUUGAUAAGAGGUGACAUUACACUUGAGUUACUGAAUCUUGACAAAACUGUAUCUGCUUCUUGCUGUGGGUUCUUGGACCACAUUUUUGAAAUGAAUUGGCUUCUUACUACACUUGGGCCGAUUAAGGGUAUUUAACUUGAGGCCACAUUUUUAAAAGAACAGAUUUCUAUACAUGAUGAAAAUUUACUAAUUUGAAUAGAUACUUAACUUGAGGAUGCCCAGUCCGGAAAGGUUUUAUCCCUCGGUGGGCAAGGAUGAUCUCACAUUGACUUCACGAGGUAGGAACCAACAUGCGCUUGGCAAGGCAACUAGAAAAGCCACUAGUUUGUAGCCGCGACAUGAUUCAGGUUCCUUUGCCAUAUUCGGAACCGUGAGUCUGAGCCUCCGUAAUCAAAGCUCUCAAAGUUUGAUACGAGUCCGCGGGAUAUUAGUUAUGUUCCUAAACGUCACCCUACGGGGUGGCGUAUCAUUUUUUCUAACAUUUUCCUUUCAUAUUUUUGCAAGGUACAAAUAACGCGAGGCAGUAGAACAAAGAUGUACCAAAAGUUGAAGCGAAGAAAUUUGGAAGCACGGCAUGUUUGGCCUAAGAACUAGAAAAGGCGCAAAUAAGGCUCAAGUCUUAAACCUUAUUUAUUUCUAUCUAAAAUUAUGUAUCCAAGUAUUACAUGUAGAUGUUGGGUAUGCAAGCCCAAAUUAAUAGUUUAUGAUGGAUAUGUUUAAAUGGAUAUGUAUAUUAUCUUUAAGGGUUUGAAUGUAGUUUUAGUUCGAAUUAGAAGUACUUUUAAGUUUAUAAUGUUUAAGUGUUUGAAUGAUGUUUAAGUGUUUGAAUGUAGUUUAUGAUGUUUAAGUGUUUGAAUGUAGUUUUAAUUUUAAGUACUUUGAGGUUGAGUUUGAUUGUUUAUAAGUGUUUGAAUGGACAAUAUUUAAGUGUUCAAGUGUUUAAA